GGCUCGCGCACGAUGCACGCACCCACUGACCUGCGCCCACUGUCUGGCACUCCCUAGUGAGAUGAACCUGGUACCUCAGAUGGAAAUGCAGAAAUCACCCGUCUUCUGCGUUGCUCACGCUGGGAGCUGUAGACCAGAGCUGUUCCUAUUCGGCCUUCUUGGCUCCUUCCCUGGGCUCUUUUAUAUUGCUGGCAAAAUAGUGACUCCCCGUGGAACAGAGUUGUUGUUCAGCAGAAAUAAUCAAGAGUUGACAUCAUACCAGGUAAAAAAUAGAAGCGGUAAUUUUGAAGGUGCUGUCAGAAGAGUUAUUGAAGUGGUCAUGAACUCUAAAGUUACAGAGGCAAUUAUGUAAAGAUAAAAGAUAAAGUCACAGUUCAACACUGGGGUAGAUGCUUGAGCAGU
Molecule: long non-coding RNA, 402 nt
Filed under: Homo sapiens (human)
Lineage: Eukaryota; Metazoa; Chordata; Mammalia; Primates; Hominidae
Description: non-protein coding lnc-NOVA1-9:6
Source: RNAcentral